GACGAACGCUGGCGGCGUGCCUAAUACAUGCAAGUCGAACGCUGAAGGAGGAGCUUGCUUCUCUGGAUGAGUUGCGAACGGGUGAGUAACGCGUAGGUAACCUGCCUGGUAGCGGGGGAUAACUAUUGGAAACGAUAGCUAAUACCGCAUAAGAGUAGAUGUUGCAUGACAUUUGCUUAAAAGGUGCAAUUGCAUCACUACCAGAUGGACCUGCGUUGUAUUAGCUAGUUGGUGGGGUAACGGCUCACCAAGGCGACGAUACAUAGCCGACCUGAGAGGGUGAUCGGCCACACUGGGACUGAGACACGGCCCAGACGCCUACGGGAGGCAGCAGUAGGGAAUCUUCGGCAAUGGACGGAAGUCUGACCGAGCAACGCCGCGUGAGUGAAGAAGGUUUUCGGAUCGUAAAGCUCUGUUGUAAGAGAAGAACGAGUGUGAGAGUGGAAAGUUCACACUGUGACGGUAUCUUACCAGAAAGGGACGGCUAACUACGUG
This 495-nucleotide ribosomal RNA is filed under the name uncultured bacterium. Its description in RNAcentral is "partial 16S ribosomal RNA". It matches the Rfam family "Bacterial small subunit ribosomal RNA", at positions 28 to 507 of the family's 1533-position model. The record is from RNAcentral.